Long non-coding RNA from Sitodiplosis mosellana (orange wheat blossom midge), 899 nucleotides. RefSeq lists it as uncharacterized. NCBI's taxonomy places the organism in Eukaryota, Metazoa, Arthropoda, Insecta, Diptera, Cecidomyiidae. The transcript is spliced from 3 exons. The record is from RefSeq and is a predicted model, not a curated record.
ACUAAACACAUUGACUGAACUAGUAACUUCGAGAAAUCAUUUUUCUUCAUUGAAUUUUAUUUAAUUGACAACUACAACAACAAUCCUAUUAACAACCGAAUCUCCGUGCUAAUUUUCCAUUGAUACACAAAUUUAUAAAACCAGUGUAUACAGUAGAAUGGUGAUUUAUUGAACAAAUUUAUUUUGGAUCUCACAUUUACCAGACGAAAAAAAAAAACGGCGUGUCGCAGUGCUUAAAUUAUUCAGUGUGAGAUAAAAAUUGACAUGAUUAUUAGUCGACGCAGUUUAUUCCAAUGAUUCUGGAAUUUUUUUUGGCAAAAUAAAUAAAAUCAUUCUGGAAUCAAAUUAAAUUGGUUGAUUGCUGCAUUGUAUUUGUGUGAACACACUAUGUGCCGGUGGCACGGCGGCAGAAGGAAUGGUUUAUUUCGUGACGAAAUUAUCACAAUUGUUAAUAAUUUUUAUUGGAUAUCGACGUAAAAUUUCGAAUGGACCAUUUGUAUAGUAAUCGUUUUGAAGUUUUGGAUACUUUUGGAGGUGAGGGGGGGCUGGUUUACAUUUAAGUUGCGGUAAAUCAAACUGCAAGAUAUACGCUCCAGUACACUUGGUUGAUUUCAAUAACUUUCUCUUUCACUCGGUCGUAUUCAAGUUUUCGGGAUAUACCACUUGAUCGGAUGUUGCAAAACGGGCCCCAAACAACAAAAAGUACUCCUAGGAGUGAGCGAGAAAAAAAACGAACUGAAAAUAAAUAUGAAAGAAUGCGUAAAAUUGUUUAUGAAUAUUUGAUACAUGAUGCAAAAAAGCACACUGAUUUCCCCGAAAGAUUAACAUGGGGCAAAAAUAAGCGAAAACGAUAGCCAAAUGGCAAUAAUAUUGAAAGCCAACUAAAUAAAACCUAUUGA